Molecule: ribosomal RNA, 2971 nt
Filed under: Rhazya stricta
Lineage: Eukaryota; Viridiplantae; Streptophyta; Magnoliopsida; Gentianales; Apocynaceae
Description: bacterial LSU rRNA
Source: RNAcentral
AUGAAUUAUCCAGUAAUAUGCCUUUCACAAUGAGAUCUAUCUAUAUAGUAAACGGUAUUUAAUUUUGAAAGUUAGCUGGGUAGCUAACCCUCUUAGUCCAUUCUGGUCAGAGUAGGAGCUUAAUCUUUAUGCCUUUUAAAUAGAUAAAUAGCAAUAAGAUUUCCUCCGCUUAAUGGAUAACCGUUUGCUACCAAUGGAGAAUUGCUUCUCAUCUUAAAUUGAGGUGAUUGGAUUUGCAUCAACGGAAGCCAUAAAAUUUAUACACAAUGUAGGAAUAUGAUAACUUCGUUUAUUUUUAGAUAGUGAAUGGAAUCUCUUCUUACAUUCAAUCCUAUUCACCGGUACUGAUCAUUGAUAUUGGAAAGUUUGUUUUUCUUGCUUUUGUACCAGCUCAUGAUAUGAUCUAAACAAGUUGCACAUACACCCGAGUACAUGUUCCUCGAUGUUGAGGGCAUCCCGAAGAGUGGGGAAUGUCGUGACAUUUCUGAUUGGCUGUCUAUUUCUAAUAAGUUGUUUAAUAGUUGGCAUGCUGAAUUUUAUACAUAAUGGGGUGGUUUAAAUUGAUCCUAACCGGAUAAUUAUGAAUUACUUCCAUUUUUAAUAGAAUAGUAAACUCAUAGAUAAAAUCUCAAAUCACGGAUUUGUGCGAAAUCGGUAAUGAAAAAAACCAAAGAAAAAAAAAUGCAUGUUGGCUCUUUGAAACAGUUCAGAUCAUUUUGAUAAUAAGCAGUUUGAUCUGUUUUACCAAGAAGGUCUACGGACUCGAACCAAAUCCAGAGCUAGCUGGUUCUCCCCAAAAUGCGUUGAGGCACAGCAGUUGACAAGACAUCUAGGGGUAAAAUACUAUUUCGGUGUGGGCCUCGAGAACGGUACCAAAUCGAGGCAAACUCUAAAUACUAGAUAUGACCUCAAAAUAACAGGGGUCAAGGUCGGUCAGUGAGACGAUGGGGGAAUAAGCUUCAUCAUCGAGAGGGAAACAGCCCGAAUCACCAGCUGAGGCCCCUAAAUGACCACUUAGUGAUAAAGGAGGUAGAGGUACAGAGACAACCAGGAGGUUUGCCUAGAAGCAGCCACCAUUGAAAGAGUGCAUAAUAGCUCACUGAUUGAGUGCUCUUGCGAUGAAGAUGACAGGGGCUAAGUGAUCUGCCGAAGCUGUGGGAUGUAAAAAUACAUUGGUAGGGGAGCUUUUCGCCUUAGAGAGAAGCCAUCGCGUGAGCAGUCGUGGACAAAGCGGAAGCGAGAAUGUCGGCUUGAGUAACGCAAACACUGAUGAGAAUCUAAUGCCCCGAAAACCUAAGGGUUCGUCCACAAGGUUCAUCCAUGGAGGGUGAGUCAGGGCCUAAGAUCAGGCCGAAAGGCAUAGUUAAUGGACAACAGGUGAAUAUUCCUGUACUACCGUUUGUUGGUCCCAAGUGACGGAGGAGGCGAAGUUAUCCGAAAGAUGCUUAUCGGUUUAAGAACGUAAAAUGCCCCUACUUUUUUAGGUAAAAAGGGGUAGAGAAAAUGCUUCGAGCCAAUGUUCAAGUACUAGGUGCUACGGCGCUAAAGUAACCCAUGCCAUACUCCCAGGAAAAGCUCAAAAGACUGUGAGCAAAAAGGUGCCUGUACCCAAAACCGACAGACAUGGGUAGGUAGAGAAUACCUAGGGGCACGAGACAACUCUUUCUCUGGAACUCGGCAAAGUAGCCCUGUAACUUCAGAAAAAGGGGUGCCUCCUCACAAAGGGGGUUGCAGUGACCAGGCUUGGGCAACUGUUUACCAAAAACACAGGUCUCCGCAAAGUCGUAAGACCAUGUAUGGGGGCUGAUGCCUGCCCAGUGCCGGAAGGUCAAGGAAGUUGGUGACCUGAUGAUAGGGGAGCCGGCGACCAAAGCCACGGUGAAUGGCAACCAUAACUAUAAUGGUCCCAAGGUAGCGAAAUUCCUUGUCAGGUAAGUUCCGACUCGCACAAAAGGCGUAAGGAUCUGGACACUGUCUCAGAGAGAGACCUGGUGAAAUAGACAAGUCUAUGAAGAUGCGGACCACCUGCACCUAGACAGAAAGACCCUAUGAAGCUUCACUGUUCCUUAGGAUUGGCUUUGGGCCUCUCCUGCGCAGCUUAAGUGGAAGGCAAAGAAGGCCCCCUCCCCGGGGGGCUCGAGCCAUCAGUGAGAUACCACUCUGGAAGAGAUAGAAUUCUAACCUUGUGUCAGGACCUACAGGCUAAGGGACAGUCUCAGGUAGUAGACAGUUUCUAUGGGGCAUAGACCUCCAAAAAGGUAGCAGAGGCAUGCAAAGGUUUCCUCAGGCCGGACGGAGAUUGGUCCUCGAGUGCAAAAGCAGAAGGGAGCUUGACUGCAAGACCHACCCGUCGAGCAGGGACGAAAGUCGGCCUUAGUGAUCUAAUGUUGCUGAGUGGAAGGGCCGUCGCUCAAUGGAUAAAAGUUACUCUAGGGAUAAGAGGCUAACCUUCCCCAAGAGCUCACAUUAACAGGAUGGUUUGGCACCUCGAUGUCGGCUCUUCGCCACUUGGGGCUAUAGUAUGUUCCAAGGGUUGGGUUGUUCGCCUAUUAAAGCGGUACGUGAGCUGGGUUCAAAAAGUCGUGAGACAGUUCGGCCCAUAUGUGGUGUGGGCGUUAGAGCAUUGAGAGGACAUUUUCCUAGUACAAGAGGACCGGGAAGGAUGCACCUUUGGUGUACCAGUUAUCGUGACCAUAGUAAACACUAGGUAGCUAAGUGCAGAGCGGAUAACUGCUGAAAGCAUCUAAGUAGUAAGCCCACCCCAAGAUGAGUGCUCUCCUAUUCCAACUUUACUAGAGCACAGCCGAGAUAGUGAUGGCUUCUCUGCCCCUGUGGGGAUGGAGCGACAGAAGUUUUGAGAAUUCAAGAGAAGGUCACGAGGAGACGAGCUGUUUAUCAUUACGAUAGGUGUCAAGUGGAAGUGCAAUGAUGUAUGCAGCUGAGGCAUCCUAAUAGACCUGGAGACUUAAUC